CCUACGGGUGGCAGCAGUGGGGAAUAUUGGACAAUGGGCGAAAGCCUGAUCCAGCCAUGCCGCGUGUGUGAAGAAGGCCUUCGGGUUGUAAAGCACUUUCAGUGGGGAAGAAAGCCUUGGGGCUAAUACCCUCGAGGAAGGACAUCACCCACACAAGAAGCACCGGCUAACUCCGUGCCAGCAGCCGCGGUAAUACGGAGGGUGCGAGCGUUAAUCGGAAUUACUGGGCGUAAAGCGCGCGUAGGCGGUCUGAUAAGCCGGUUGUGAAAGCCCCGGGCUCAACCUGGGAACGGCAUCCGGAACUGUCAGGCUAGAGUGCAGGAGAGGAAGGUAGAAUUCCCGGUGUAGCGGUGAAAUGCGUAGAGAUCGGGAGGAAUACCAGAGGCGAAGGCGGCCUUCUGGACUGACACUGACGCUGAGGUGCGAAAGCGUGGGUAGCAAACAGGAUUAGAUACCCCUGUAGUC
RNAcentral lists this ribosomal RNA (465 nucleotides) under Vreelandella stevensii. Its description in RNAcentral is "partial 16S ribosomal RNA". It matches the Rfam family "Bacterial small subunit ribosomal RNA", at positions 338 to 795 of the family's 1533-position model. The record is from RNAcentral. Lineage: Bacteria; Pseudomonadati; Pseudomonadota; Gammaproteobacteria; Oceanospirillales; Halomonadaceae.